UGGAAAUGAGGGAUUCUAUAACCUGCUGUGUGUGCUUCUUACCCUGCUGUUGGGCUUUGCGCCGUCGAUCGGACAAAUCGUCAAAGAGAAAUGUUCAGCCGCCGUGUCAAUGUUCCAAGAAUGGAGAGCUCGUCCUUCCCUCUGCCGUCACUGCGGUACUGCCCCGUGUCAGGUUAAAAGGAGAUCCUUGUGGAAGCCCUCCGGUACUCGUAAGAAAGACAAGGCAAAUUUCGCAAAAAGGUCAAACGCCAUGAUGUUGUUUUACUGUGGACUAGAUUUGUCCGUGGUACUGAACAAAGAGCUGCCACUGGAUGACCUGUACUGGAAGAGGAAGCUGGUCCAGCAUUUUGAGGAGGAACAUAUGGUGUUCUUCCCACUCUGCAUCCAGCGUCAUAUCAACUACUGGUACCCUGUCCCUCGCUAGAUUCGUUUCGUCGUUCAAAGAGAAGAAUGUGGAUUGCAGUCGGUGAUGGAAAUAGAAGUUUGAGAUUGACGUCAAAGACUCG
This 506-nucleotide long non-coding RNA is filed under the name Mizuhopecten yessoensis (Yesso scallop). RNAcentral describes it as "uncharacterized LOC110465849". The record is from RNAcentral. Lineage: Eukaryota; Metazoa; Mollusca; Bivalvia; Pectinida; Pectinidae.